Molecule: ribosomal RNA, 615 nt
Filed under: Analges certhiae
Lineage: Eukaryota; Metazoa; Arthropoda; Arachnida; Sarcoptiformes; Analgidae
Description: partial large subunit ribosomal RNA
Source: RNAcentral
CCCUUAGUAACGGCGAGCGAAAAGGGAAGAGUCCAGCGCCAAGUCUUGACGCCCAAGCGUUCAAGAGAUGCGGCGUUAAUGUAUUAUCGCAUCGUACAUUGUUGNCUGUUUCAAGUUCCYUUGACAGGGACAUCCAUAGCGGGUGCUAGGCCCAUAGAGGCAGGCGACCAGUGUGCGCAGAUAAUGCAUUCUAGAGUCAGGUUGCUUGAGAGUGCAGCUUAAAGUGGGUGGUAAACUCCAUCUAAGGCUAAAUAUGACAGCGAGACCGAUAGCAAACAAGUACCGUGAGGGAAAGUUGCAAAGCACUUUGAAGAGAGAGUUCAAUAGUACGUGAAACCACUGGGAGGCAAACAGAUGGAACCACGAAGUUGCGCCUCGCUCGAUUCAAUCAUUGAUACUGGUUACCGGUUCUUGUGUGGAUCUUUUCGGAGAUUAGCAAGUGUCGUGGAACUGGUAUCAAUGGUGCAUUUCGUGUGAGGAUGCUAAGCCACGUUCGAUUAGAGUUGGGACGGCCGUAGGACAGAAUUUAAGGAAGGUGACCGGAAAGUGCUUGCAUUUUUCGGUGUUAUAGCCUUGAAUUGGUACCGUCGCCUAACAAACUGAUCGAUAUAAAUU